This 512-nucleotide ribosomal RNA is filed under the name uncultured bacterium. RNAcentral describes it as "partial 16S ribosomal RNA". It matches the Rfam family "Bacterial small subunit ribosomal RNA", at positions 28 to 507 of the family's 1533-position model. The record is from RNAcentral.
GAUGAACGCUGGCGGCGUGCCUAAUACAUGCAAGUCGAACGAAACUUCUUUAUCACCGAGUGCUUGCACUCACCGAUAAAGAGUUGAGUGGCGAACGGGUGAGUAACCCGUGGGCAACCUGCCCAAAAGAGGGGGAUAACACUUGGAAACAGGUGCUAAUACCGCAUAACCAUAGUUACCGCAUGGUAACUAUGUAAAAGGUGGCUAUACUACCGCUUUUGGAUGGGCCCGCGGCGCAUUAGCUAGUUGGUAGGGUAAAGGCUUACCAAGGCAAUGAUGCGUAGCCGAAUUGAGAGGUUGAUCGGCCACAUUGGGACUGAGACACGGCCCAAACUCCUACGGGAGGCAGCAGUAGGGAAUCUUCCACAAUGGGCGAAAGCCUGAUGGAGCAACGCCGCGUGGGUGAAGAAGGUCUUCGGAUCGUAAAACCCUGUUGUUAGAGAAGAAAGUGCGUGAGAGUAACUGUUCACGUUUCGACGGUAUCUAACCAGAAAGCCACGGCUAACUACGUG